Molecule: non-coding RNA, 234 nt
Organism: Vicia faba (fava bean)
Lineage: Eukaryota; Viridiplantae; Streptophyta; Magnoliopsida; Fabales; Fabaceae
Source: the annotation of a GenBank genome assembly
AUGCAAAUCGACCAAAAAAAAACAACAACAAAAAAUUCAUUCGAGCGGCCAUCGAAACAGAAUAAAAUCAGAGAGGAAGGAACGAAAAAUCCCAAUAAACUGAAUAUUAAUGGAUAUAUAAUAUUAUCUCACCUCUGGUCUUUCGCUAUUUCUUUCGAAACCACGAAUACAGGUUCCGUCUUUCUAUAUUUCACCGUGUGUAGAUUUUCGAACAUUUUCAAAAGUGAACCCUAA